UACGGGGGGGGCAAGCGUUGUUCGGAAUUACUGGGCGUAAAGGGCUCGUAGGCGGCCAACUAAGUCGGAUGUGAAAUCCCCAGGCUUAACCUGGGAACUGCAUCCGAUACUGGAUGGCUUGAAUCCGGGAGAGGGAUGCAGAAUUCCAGGUGUAGCGGUGAAAUGCGUAGAUAUCUGGAGGAACACCGGUGGCGAAGGCGGGUCUCUGGGCCGAUACUGACGCUGAGGAGCGAAAGCGUGGGGAGCAAACAGG
This 253-nucleotide ribosomal RNA is filed under the name uncultured bacterium. RNAcentral describes it as "partial 16S ribosomal RNA". It matches the Rfam family "Bacterial small subunit ribosomal RNA", at positions 524 to 776 of the family's 1533-position model. The record is from RNAcentral.